GAUGAACGCUGGCGGCGUGCCUUAUACAUGCAAGUCGAGCGAACGGACGAGAAGCUUGCUUCUCUGAUGUUAGCGGCGGACGGGUGAGUAACACGUGGAUAACCUACCUAUAAGACUGGGAUAACUUCGGGAAACCGUAGCUAAUACCGGAUAAUAUUUUGAACCGCAUGGUUCAAAAGUGAAAGACGGUCUUGCUGUCACUUAUAGAUGGAUCCGCGCUGCAUUAGCUAGUUGGUAAGGUAACGGCUUACCAAGGCAACGAUGCAUAGCCGACCUGAGAGGGUGAUCGGCCACACUGGAACUGAGACACGGUCCAGACUCCUACGGGAGGCAGCAGUAGGGAAUCUUCCGCAAUGGGCGAAAGCCUGACGGAGCAACGCCGCGUGAGUGAUGAAGGUCUUCGGAUCGUAAAACUCUGUUAUUAGGGAAGAACAUAUGUGUAAGUAACUGUGCACAUCUUGACGGUACCUAAUCAGAAAGCCACGGCUAACUACGU
Molecule: ribosomal RNA, 496 nt
Filed under: uncultured bacterium
Lineage: Bacteria
Description: partial 16S ribosomal RNA
Rfam family: Bacterial small subunit ribosomal RNA
Source: RNAcentral